Non-coding RNA from Mycena polygramma, 93 nucleotides. The record is from the annotation of a GenBank genome assembly. Lineage: Eukaryota; Fungi; Basidiomycota; Agaricomycetes; Agaricales; Mycenaceae.
UCGGGUGUGGUGUACGGCGCACCGCUGCUGAGCAUGACAAAUGAUGGUUUAGAGUGUUUGCAGCUGGACGGGGUUCGACUCCCCGCAUCCGAA